AUGGCCGGAAGGAAGGGCGGCGACAGGAAGAAGGCGGUGACCAGGUCCGUGAAGGCCGGGCUCCAGUUCCCCGUCGGCCGCAUCGGGCGCUACCUCAAGAAGGGCCGCUACGCCCAGCGCGUCGGCUCCGGCGCCCCCGUCUACCUCGCCGCCGUCCUCGAGUACCUCGCCGCAGAGGUCCUGGAGCUCGCCGGCAACGCGGCCAAGGACAACAAGAAGACCCGCAUCAUCCCGCGCCACCUGCUGCUCGCCGUCCGCAACGACCAGGAGCUCGGCAGGCUGCUCGCCGGCGUCACCAUCGCCCACGGCGGCGUGAUCCCCAACAUCAACUCCGUGCUGCUCCCCAAGAAGUCCCCCGCCGCCGCCGAGAAGGAGGCCAAGUCGCCCAAGAAGAAGACCUCCACCAAGUCCCCCAAGAAGAAGGUCGCCGCCAAGGAGUAG
RNAcentral lists this ribosomal RNA (441 nucleotides) under Triticum aestivum (bread wheat). RNAcentral describes it as "partial small subunit ribosomal RNA". The record is from RNAcentral. Lineage: Eukaryota; Viridiplantae; Streptophyta; Magnoliopsida; Poales; Poaceae.